UGGGGAAUAUUGCACAAUGGGCGAAAGCCUGAUGCAGCGACGCCGCGUGAGGGAUGACGGCCUUCGGGUUGUAAACCUCUUUCAGCAGGGACGAGGCGCAAGUGACGGUACCUGCAGAAGAAGCACCGGCUAACUACGUGCCAGCAGCCGCGGUAAUACGUAGGGUGCAAGCGUUGUCCGGAAUUACUGGGCGUAAAGAGUUCGUAGGCGGUUUGUCGCGUCGUUUGUGAAAACCAGCAGCUCAACUGCUGGCUUGCAGGCGAUACGGGCAGACUUGAGUACUGCAGGGGAGACUGGAAUUCCUGGUGUAGCGGUGAAAUGCGCAGAUAUCAGGAGGAACACCGGUGGCGAAGGCGGGUCUCUGGGCAGUAACUGACGCUGAGGAACGAAAGCGUGGUUAGCGAACAGG
RNAcentral lists this ribosomal RNA (409 nucleotides) under bacterium. RNAcentral describes it as "partial 16S ribosomal RNA". It matches the Rfam family "Bacterial small subunit ribosomal RNA", at positions 355 to 776 of the family's 1533-position model. The record is from RNAcentral.